Molecule: ribosomal RNA, 465 nt
Filed under: uncultured bacterium
Lineage: Bacteria
Description: partial 16S ribosomal RNA
Rfam family: Bacterial small subunit ribosomal RNA
Source: RNAcentral
CUACGGGAGGCUCCAGUGGGGAAUAUUGGACAAUGGGGGAAACCCUGAUCCAGCAAUGCCGCGUGUAUGAAGAAGGCCUGCGGGUUGUAAAGCACUUUCGGUUGGGAGGACUGCUUCUAGCACUAAUAUUGUUGGAAGUUGACGUUACCUUCAGAAGAAGCACCGGCUAACUCCGUGCCAGCAGCCGCGGUAAUACGGAGGGUACAAGCGUUAAUCGGAAUUACUGGGCGUAAAGCGCGCGUAGGCGGCUAGAUCAGUCGGGUGUGAAAGCCCCGGGCUUAACCUGGGAACUGCAUCCGAUACUGUCUAGCUUGAGUACAGGAGAGGAGAGUGGAAUUCCACAUGUAGCGGUGAAAUGCGUAGAUAUGUGGAGGAACACCAAUGGCGAAGGCAGCUCUCUGGCCUGAUACUGACGCUGAGGUGCGAAAGCGUGGGGAGCAAACAGGAUUAGAUACCCUCGUAGUC